RNAcentral lists this ribosomal RNA (483 nucleotides) under uncultured bacterium. RNAcentral's name for it is "partial 16S ribosomal RNA". It matches the Rfam family "Bacterial small subunit ribosomal RNA", at positions 29 to 506 of the family's 1533-position model. The record is from RNAcentral.
AUUGAACGCUGGCGGCAGGCCUAACACAUGCAAGUCGAGCGGAUGAAGGGAGCUUGCUCCUGGAUUCAGCGGCGGACGGGUGAGUAAUGCCUAGGAAUCUGCCUGGUAGUGGGGGAUAACGUCCGGAAACGGGCGCUAAUACCGCAUACGUCCUGAGGGAGAAAGUGGGGGAUCUUCGGACCUCACGCUAUCAGAUGAGCCUAGGUCGGAUUAGCUAGUUGGUGGGGUAAAGGCCUACCAAGGCGACGAUCCGUAACUGGUCUGAGAGGAUGAUCAGUCACGAAGGAGAUGAGACAGGGAACAGAGGCAAACGGGAGGCAGGAGUGGGGAAGAUGGGACAAUGGGUGAAAGGAUGAAACAGCAAUGCAGGGUGGGUGAAGGAGGACUUCGUAAUGGAAAGCACUUUAAGAUGGGAGCAAGGGAAGUAAGUUAAUACCUUGCUGUUUUAACGUUACCAAAAGAAUAAGAAACGGCUAACUUCGU